This 600-nucleotide ribosomal RNA is filed under the name Planococcus rifietoensis. RNAcentral's name for it is "bacterial SSU rRNA". It matches the Rfam family "Bacterial small subunit ribosomal RNA", at positions 36 to 621 of the family's 1533-position model. Lineage: Bacteria; Bacillati; Bacillota; Bacilli; Caryophanales; Caryophanaceae. The record is from RNAcentral.
CAUAAAGCGAGCGUAUACAUGCAAGUCGAGCGGAGAUGUUGGAGCUUGCUCCAACAUCUUAGCGGCGGACGGGUGAGUAACACGUGGGCAACCUGCCCUGCAGAUCGGGAUAACUCCGGGAAACCGGUGCUAAUACCGAAUAGUUUGCGGCCUCUCAUGAGGCCACACGGAAAGACGGUUUCGGCUGUCACUGCAGGAUGGGCCCGCGGCGCAUUAGCUAGUUGGUGAGGUAACGGCUCACCAAGGCCACGAUGCGUAGCCGACCUGAGAGGGUGAUCGGCCACACUGGGACUGAGACACGGCCCAGACUCCUACGGGAGGCAGCAGUAGGGAAUCUUCCGCAAUGGACGAAAGUCUGACGGAGCAACGCCGCGUGAGUGAAGAAGGUUUUCGGAUCGUAAAACUCUGUUGUGAGGGAAGAACAAGUACCAAGUAACUACUGGUACCUUGACGGUACCUCACCAGAAAGCCACGGCUAACUACGUGCCAGCAGCCGCGGUAAUACGUAGGUGGCAAGCGUUGUCCGGAAUUAUUGGGCGUAAAGCGCGCGCAGGCGGUCCUUUAAGUCUGAUGUGAAAGCCCACGGCUCAACCGUGGAGG